RNAcentral lists this long non-coding RNA (986 nucleotides) under Ursus maritimus (polar bear). RNAcentral describes it as "lncRNA (ENSUMAG00000003121.1)". Lineage: Eukaryota; Metazoa; Chordata; Mammalia; Carnivora; Ursidae. The record is from RNAcentral.
GUCCCCUGCAUGUCUCUCAGGGCGCUCCCCAGCCCCACCAACCUGAGAGGAAUGAGCUAUAACUAGACCAGGGCGUCUUGGAGAGAACUCAGCUUGACCAGAGUCUUGAGGCAUAAGCAGGGAGGAGAGUGGGAUAGAAGGAUACUUCCUGGCUUCAAGGGCAGGAGAUGAGAUUGGUUCCCAGCCUUGACACUGAGCAGGUGGGAGACCUCGAGCACUCUCUUACUGCCUCUGGGGUUUAGUGUCUGCACCUGUAGCCCCAGAAGCAAAAACUGAAAUAGAACCGUUUUGGUUUCCAGGGCGUUUGGCUCCAUCUUCUGGUCAGUUCUUGCCACUGCGGCUUUUGCAGUAUUGUGAUUCACCGUGGACAGCAGCCUUCUGCACCUCAGUUUCCCCAUCUGAUACACAACCAAUCAGCUCCCCGCCCCAAGACGGUUGAGAAGAUGAAACAGCUGCACCUUCACGUGGAUGAGUUAACAGCAGCCAAUCCCAGGCCGUGCGACCCGUUCCCCUGGCUGGAGCUGAUUGAUCCAGGGCAGAGCACUGAGAGUCAGAAGUUUGGAGUGGAAAGACCUCUGAUCUGCUGGUCCCCGGAGCCGAGUUCCCAUAAUGGCAGCGCUCUGGUAAGAAGCCCUCACACCCUCCCUGCUGCCCGGGCCCCUGGAGCCAAACUGCCUCCUGCCCUUCUUGAUAUUUCAGUAUCUUUCCACUAUGUUCCUGCCGUGAUUUAAGACAGCCAAAGUCAGACUUUGUUGCUGGUAAUCAAAAGAACCUCUGCUCGUGGAGGAGUAGAGACUUUAAGAGCUGGAAGAUGGCUGGAACGUCAUCUGUCUCCCUGUGCAGUCCUGCUGAGCUUGCAGAGCUCUGUCUGCCCUGCAAGGAUCCUCCUCCGUGCCCUUCAGACUGGCCCAUUUCUCUAGACUCACUCAUGCCUCCUCCACCGUCUGUGGGAACCCUCUCCCCACACCCCUCCCAACUGACUCAAC